Molecule: transfer RNA, 74 nt
Filed under: Symmachiella dynata
Lineage: Bacteria; Pseudomonadati; Planctomycetota; Planctomycetia; Planctomycetales; Planctomycetaceae
Description: tRNA-Cys
Rfam family: tRNA
About the family: Transfer RNA (tRNA) molecules are approximately 80 nucleotides in length. Their secondary structure includes four short double-helical elements and three loops (D, anti-codon, and T loops).
Source: RNAcentral
GACACCGAUGCUCGAUGGCCGGGCGACUGUCUGCAACACAGUUUUUCAGUGAGUUCGAUUCUCACCGGCGUCUC